AGCUUUGUGCAGUGGCAGUAUUGUAGCCAAUGAGGUUUAUCCGAGGCGUGAUUAUUGCUAAUUGAAAACUUUUCCCAAUACCCUCCCCAUGAUGACUUGAAAUAUAGUUGGCAUUGGCAAUUUUUGACAGUCUCUACGGAGA
RNAcentral lists this small nuclear RNA (142 nucleotides) under Cebus imitator (Panamanian white-faced capuchin). RNAcentral's name for it is "U4 spliceosomal RNA (ENSCCAG00000015129.1)". It matches the Rfam family "U4 spliceosomal RNA". From Rfam's summary of the family: U4 small nuclear RNA (U4 snRNA) is a component of the major U2-dependent spliceosome. The structure of U4 snRNA from yeast and human has been reported. U4 snRNA presents a k-turn RNA motif in the 5p-SL related to recognition of Snu13 protein. Lineage: Eukaryota; Metazoa; Chordata; Mammalia; Primates; Cebidae. The record is from Rfam by way of RNAcentral.